AACGAACGCUGGCGGCAGGCUUAACACAUGCAAGUCGAGCGCCCCGCAAGGGGAGCGGCAGACUGGUGAGUAACGCGUGGGAACGUACCCUUAUCUUCGGGAUAGCUCCGGGAUACUGGAAUUAAUACCGAACUUGCCCUUUUGGGGGAAGGUUUAUCGGAUAAGGAUCGGCCCGCGCUGGAUUUGCUAGGGGGUGGGGUGAAGGCGUGCCAAGGCGGCGAUCCAUAGCUGGUCUGGGAGGAUGAGCAUCCACAUUGGGGAUGAGACACGGACCAAACCCCGACGCGAAGGAGGAGUGGGGAAUAUUGGGCGAGGGAGGCAAGCCUGACAAAGCCAUGCCGGGUGAGUGAUGAAGGCCUUAGGAUUGUACAGCUCUUUCACCGGAGAAGAUAAUGACGGUAACCGGAGAAGAAGCCCCGGCUAACUACGUG
Molecule: ribosomal RNA, 431 nt
Filed under: uncultured bacterium
Lineage: Bacteria
Description: partial 16S ribosomal RNA
Rfam family: Bacterial small subunit ribosomal RNA
Source: RNAcentral